GUAUAUAAUCAAGGUUCUACAGGUUUAGAAUUGAUGAUUCCACUUUAACUUCUUUUCCUCGUAGGGAUGUGAGCUUAAAGAAGAAUCAGUUAUUCGACUACCUUUUCAAUCUUAAUUACAUACGACUCGUAUACUCGAGGCUGCGAUUGAUGAACCAUGUAUGACUUCUAAUAUGAACUUCAAUACGGAGACUGCCCAUGACUAUGAGUAAUCACAUUAUCAUGUGAACAAACUUAGAACCCUGCACGACUCCUGCAACGAGAUCGCCCUACUGUCUAAACACCCACAGAAAUACAAGAACAAUUCGGACAACUUAGAGAACUACUCAGCAAUAGAGUUGGAAGACUAGGCUCCUCACCCUGGACGGCUCUGGUCUUAUUCUUCUAGACGUAGACGGGUUGCAUCAUAUGUACCUCGACUAUCGGAGACCUCGUCAAGAUUUCCAUUAGAAGUCGUUAUCUCUGCCUCGCAUAUAUGAUUUGGUUGACCAACCGCAAGGAACUAUUUACCUUUCAGAAAUAGACCCGAGUUCCGAAUAUCAGCAGUUUCGAGUGUUAGGGAAGGAUGUACCGAAGACUACCUUCCGAAAUCGAUGCGGACACUCCGAGUCCGUAGUGAUACCCCUCGGAUAGGACCAAUAUGCCCAUAGUAUUCAUGAGCUUAAUGAAUAGGGUACGCCAUUCUUACUGGGAUCAGUCGUCAUUCUCUUUGUAAAUGACUUACUUAUCUACUCUCGUAGUAAGAAGGAAACCAUGGAAACAUUUCCCUCAGAGAAACCCUUCGCGAAGUUCUAUAAAUACGAGUUUUGGAAUUUAAGAGUCAAAUUCCUAAGACACACUAUUAGUGAUGGGAAAUUCUUGAGUACUCUGUAAAUUUAUCAAAAUCGUUGGGAAUUUGUCGGCACCGAAGACGCCGACAGAAAUUCGUCAAAUUCUAGGUCUUGCAGACCUACUAUCGUAGUCCAUUCAGAACUCCUCGCAAUUUACAAAAACCCUUACGACUUUAACCUAGCAAGGAGUGGUCCUUGACUGGGAAGAUAAGCAAGAAACCUUGAAAUUCCAAGUGAGAGACCAAAUUCUUUAGGAAAUCUCACUCUGGGAAUGGCUUAAUACGCUUCGUAAAGAGUGGAAAGCUAAAUCCAAGAUAGUCAGGACCUCCAAGAUUCUUACCGGAAUCGGUCCUGUAUCUCACAGACUAGACCUACUUCGCGAGCUUAGUAACGUACAUUCUACCCUUCACGGCUCGAACUUGUAAAAAGUAUCGAUCUGACGAGACUCUUGAAAUCCCACUCGAAGAGAUCGAGUCCCCUUGUUGCACAGAUUCACAUGAAUUGAGAAGUUCGACAUGAUUACAAAGGGGGAGAAUGUAGAGUCGAAAUAUCUUGUAAUAUGUCGAAGUUUGUGUAAUAGAUAGUUUCGUAUGUUUCCUUAUGUAUUUGCUAAGGCUUCUUUUUGACGAAUCUUAAUGUCCAGCCUUAGUAUUUUUUUUGUACUUUCAGCCUCCUAUAAAUAGGAAUUGAACAUAGAGCAGAUAGUAGAAUUUUCCUAUCAUUUACUAUCAGUUUUGUACUCUUGUUCUCUGAAAGAAAUAUGAGCUAAACCAGACCUUAUUUACUUCUUGUGUUCAUCUUUUACUCUGAUUUGAUUCUCUCUAUUAAACACUUCUACAGUCUUCAGCCCAAAACUUGCAGAAAGGCUUUAGGGACCCUAAUGAUCCCUAAAAAUGCAAAAUUUAUGUACAUGCAUGCCCCAUACAUGUCCUUUCCCAAAUCUAGGUCAAAAGAUGCAAUAUGAUCUACAUUUCAUGGAAGGUUCCCAAAUCACCACCACUUCGUAGAUCUACUAGAUAUAAUGCUCUUGGGACAUAAAGAACCAAUAAAAUUUGCAAACUUUAUCUAUUAAAACCACACAACCUUAUCAAAGGUACCAACAUAUGAUUUAAAACCUAAAUCUAAAGAGAAAAACAUUAAAAGAUGGGAACUCGAGGACUAACAAAGAGUCUAAAAGAUGCACACAAUUAAGGGAAAGGCUUCAUUGUUGAAUCAAGGCACCAAUUCGUUUUCUUCUUCCUUAAAAACAACCAAGAACUUGCAAAAUGAGCACAAGAGCUUCAAAAGAGCUAGGGUUUGGAUAAAGGGUCGUUUGAAGGUGAUGGAAGUUGAGGGUGAAGGAAACCCUAGCAACCACUUCCUUUAAAUAAGGCUUAAAGACAGAAAAUUAGGGUUUAACCCAAAAUAGUAGCCACGUCGUGGUGAUGCCUUCACAUUGUGGCCAACCAGAUUUUCAAGAUAUACAUUUUCUUAAAAAUAUCAUACCUCAAAUAUAUGGAUGUUACAUAGAUACACAAGUGUCCUUUUGGAUUAUCCUGGAUUGGAUUUCUUGUAACUCAGGCAUAGGAUGGAAAUAUCAGUUCGGAAAGUGAACCUACACAAUCCAUAAGGAGUCCGGUUUUACACCAUCACCCUAACAUAUCCUUCUACAAUUGAACUGAUAUUCUUGUCUGAUGGAGAUGGCAGAAUCUAUCUGCGAGUCGACCACAAAAUUCUUAAAACUACACAAGUUUGAAGGCAACGAUUUAAAGCGCUGGUAGAAGAAGAUGUUGUUCAUGCUGACCGCGUUGAAGGCUCUAUAUAUGUGCUGAGUACUCCAAGGCUAGAAGUGGUGGAAAAUGAGACAUUGGAAGAAACUACGAGGAGGAGUAAAUGAGAAAGCGAUGAGUACGGUGUUGUUUGUUUUCUGUCUGCAGAUCUUUUUGGCCUCUUCUGGCUGCGCCGCGCAGACCACGCGCAGACAUUAGACUUCGCAAACUGUUUGUUUUUUUUAAACUGCAGACGUAAAAAUGUUUGUGCGCCCUCUCCUUGGCGCAGAUGUGGACCAGAGUCUUCUAACAUCUUCUAGCCUAAAAACACGCAUAUAUCUUUAUUUUUUUUAGUUUUUUAAUUUAUAUUUAUUCAAAACUUUAUUAAUGAUAAUCAAUUUGAAAAAAAAAGUUACAAUACGUUAAAAAAAUGUUUAACGACACAAACAUUAUCUUUUUUGCAAAUUUAUAAAUAAAUAUUUAUUACAAUAAUGGUCAUUGAAGUUUUAUAUAUAAAUAUAAAAAAAAUCAUAAUAUAUUCCUAUAUUUUUUGUGCCAAAUUUUAUAAAACAUUAUUUAAUACAAUAUCAUCAAUUUCUUGAAAAAAUAUUUAUGUUACGUUUUUAAUUGAUUUAAUUUGAAAAAAUCGAAAUUUAUUUACAUCCAUUUAUGUAUCAAAUUGUUUAAUUCCUAAUUACAAUGUUUAGGUAUAACUUUGCAACAAAAAUUGUUGGUUUUUAUCAAAUAUAUACGUUCAUUCGUAUCAUUUUUAUUUUUACUUUUUAUGCAAUAAUAAAUAAAAGUUGAUCUAGAUUUGUUAAUUAUUUAUAACAAAGCCAUAAAAAUAUUAAAAAAAUCAUUUUGAAGUUAAAAAAAUCAGUUUAUUUAGAUUUUAGUUUAUUUUAGUAGCCUGCAGAUGUUAAGAAAAACAAACAAUUUUCUUUUUUCAGACUGCAGACGUUUGGUCUACCUCUUCUACUACAUAGGUUUAUAGAUUUGGUCCGCAGACUGGAUAUAUUUUGCCUCAGAAAAAACAAACACCACCUACAUCUGCAUAUGAAACAUUUUGAAUGGUAUAGCUAAUUCCUUAUUCGAUAUCCAUAGAGAGGCUAAAAUUACAGAGGUGUAACGCCUUGUUUCGAAUCGUUUCCCAUUUUAAGGAUGGUGAUCAGGGAUUGGGUAUUAGCAUGCUUCGGACCCUUGAGUAAUUAAUAUUUGGAGUCAAUUGGGGUUGGAUAAUGUAAUUUAGAUGUUCGGGUAUUCAGUUUGUGUUUUUGAGUCAAAGGGAAUUUCAGUAAUUUUGUCAACUCGGGCUUUUAUGCAAAGUGGAUCUUCGUUCAGGAUAUCUUAUGGCAAGUAUGAGCUUAUAAUAGUUUAGAUCUUCUUGAUAGAUUUUAAUAUAAGGAUGGUAGAAAUUGGAGUUGUAUCGAGGAAGUUAUGGCCUUUGGAAUGAUUUAGGGUUUGGGGAAAACUCUAGUAUGUGGGGCGUGUUGAGGCGAAAAGGGUGACGCCAUGUGUAAUGGAGUGUACGCUUAGCGUACUUCGGAGUUGAGAUCGGGGUGCGAGACCUCGUAUGCUGGGCAUACGAGGAUUGGUCUAAAAACCCUAAUUUUCGUAUGUAUACCCUAUAUAAGCUUAAUGUUAGCCCCUUUCCUUCAUUUCUAAGUCAGCCUCCACACUCGAAAAACCCUAAAUCGACCUUAGAGCCUCUUGGAGGUGUUCUUGGGGUAUUGGGAGGCUUUGAUGCUCAUUUUUCCCUUGGGAAGGAAAGAAGAGAAGUUAGAAGUUGUUUGGCUUAGUGGGAAAGAUUUGGAUCCAAAAUCAUCACCUUGUGCAGGAGUUUUUUGAGGUAAUAAGUUUGCAUCUUGGCUUAUGUAUGAAUAGAUCUCUUCAUGGCUAGAUUAUUAUGAUUUUGGUCUUCUUUUUGAGAUUAUGGAUGAGUUAGGUUGUUUAAGGGUUUAUCCUUUCAGAUCUAAGCUUUUUUUGGUAUCCUUGAGCAUAAAGGUGCAAGCUUUAUGUGUAUUAUGGAUUUUUGCAUGCAUAAAGUCAACCAAUAAGUCCCUUUUAAGCUUAAGAGUUUCCUCUAGUCAUCUAUGAACGUAAAGUUUGCAACUUUACGUCGUAUUUCAACUCAAGUAGGUCAAAUAUGUGGUUUGGAAAGAUUUGUCUUAAUGGAUUGAGUGAAAAUCAAGUUUUGGAUGAAUAAGGUAAGUAUGUAAGGUGUACAAGCAGGUAAACUCAACGUACAAUCCUCCAAGAGAGUACGCUGCACGUACAUGCUUGUACGCUCCGCGUACUCGGUCUGAAUGGGCUUUGUGUGUUUGGCUUUCGGUUUGGGUUAUCUUUUGGUCUUGGAUUGCAUUGGGCUUUAUUGGGCCACCUAUAAAAUAGUGUUUGGAUUAGGAAAAUGUUAAUGGGCCUUAUGGUAAGGCCCAUGUAAGGGUUUGGGCCCAAUUUGGAAAAAUUGGGCGAUGAAUGGGCUUUGGAUGAUUAUUGGUUGUUGGGCCUUUAUGAUAAGGAGCUUGGGCCUUAGUCUUGGACUAAUCUUGGUGAGGCUUUAAAGGGUAUUUUUACCCCAUAUAUGGAUUAUUGGACUACGUUUGGAACCCGAUUACUAAAUUGGGUGUUAUUUGUUUGAUAUUGCAGAGGUUUUAGCGGAUUUGUAGUCAGAGAGUAUUUGUGGGAGUCUUUUAUCGGAGGUGAGUCUUCUCACUAUAUCCAUGGGUUGAAGGCACCAAUUUUGGCCCAUUAUUUGUUAUGUGGAAUGUUAUUUGUCACUGUGAUACUUGCAUGGAAGACCAUAGGGGGAGCCCAUGGCAUUUCAGGUAAAGAUCAUAGGGGGAGCCUAUGGCAUUUGGAUAUUAGACCAUGGGGGAGCCCAUGGCAUUCCAAUUAAAGACCAUGGGGAAGCUCAUGGAAACUAUAUGUAUGACGCAUGAUAUUCUGUGGUUGUAUGUUAUAUGGUAUUUUAGGGAACUCACUAGGAUUUGUGCUUACGGUUUACAGUUUAUGUCUCAGGCACUUCUGUUUUAAAAUGCCAGGGCUCAGGAUGAUUGCAGAGCACACACCACAUGUUUCCACAUUCCGUGAAUUACUCUGAUUUAUCGAUGUUUUGCUACGACUCGGUUACCUUGGUUUUUAUAGGAAAGCUAUGUAUUAAUGAUUUAUUAAUCUAAAAACAAAAAAAGAUUAUGUCAUGAUUUUCGGGUUGUUACAAAAGGAGUUUUUGGACACUCUUGAAUCAAAAUACAUGGCUGAGGAUGCUUCUAGCAAGAAGUUCCUUGUCAGUUAUUUUAAUAACUAUAAAAUGGUUAAUUCAAGAUCUGUCAUGGAACAACAAAACAAACUCCUUCGCGUUUUGGGUAAAUUCAAACUACACAACAUGAAUACGGAUGAAACCAUUCAUAUGUCGAGUGUAAUUGACAAACUUCCACCAUCCUGGAAAGACUUCAAACAUAAUCUGAAACAUCAAAAAUAGGAACUAUCCAUGGUUCAACUUGAUAGUAAUUUACGCAAUGAAGAUUCUGUUUGUGCACAAGAAAGUGACAAAAACAAAGGAAAAGUUGAAUCUUGACAGAACUCAGUUCAUGUGGUUUAAAACAAACCAAUAAAUCCAAACAACAAAGGACAUGAAAAACACAAGAAAGAAAGUGUCCCAAAUAAUUCCAACAAAAAGAAAAGGGAACUAGUUUGUUGGAGGUGCUUCAAAGUGGGACAUUGUAAGAAUGAUUGUCGUGUGAAUCUUGGCAAUAAUGGUGCUAGAAACAGUGGAGCCAGUGGAAAUGGAAACUGGUCUAAGGACCAUGUUAAAGGAUGUAAGUUUUUAACAAACUUUGAUAAUUCUGAACAUAAUUAUAUUUAUCAUGUGUCAUUUAUUCCUGAAUCAUUUUAUGCACAUGAUGAUGAUGUUGCUUGGUGGAUCAACUUUGGUGCAACAAACCAUGUAUGCAAGGAUAAAUGGUUGUUUGAAACAUUAACACCGCUUGAAGAUGGAUAUGUGUUACAUAUGGGAGACGAAUCAUUUAAACUGAUUUGUGGUGUCAGUGUCAUUAAUCUUGAAUUUACUUCUGGAAAGAUUUCUAAAGUUUGUUAUGUUUUGUUUGUUCCUGAUAUUCAAAAUAAUCUUGUUAGUGGCAGUUGUCAGAAUUCUGGUGGUUAUAAACAAGUUAUGAAGCAGAUAUGUAUAUCCUAUAUCGUGGUGGAUUGUUUGUUGGUUUUGGAUAUUUAAAUAAUAGAAUUUUUUGUUUGAAUGUUAUUGAUAAAUUGUCAUCUAUUCGAAAUUCUACUUUUUUGUCGUCUUCUUCUUCUAAAAUUGAUGACUCUAUGCUUUGGCAUGCUAGAUUGGGUCAUGCCAAUUUUCGAAGGAUGCAUGAAAUGUCAAAAGCUGGUCUAAUACCACCAUUUUAAAUGAAUUUGGAAAAAUGUAAAACAUGCAUGAUUACAAUAGUUACAAAACAACAUUUUCAAAAUGUUACUAGAAAAUCGGCUAUUUUGGAACCUGUACACAAUGACUUGUGUGAUUUCCACUCUACUCCAUCUUUAUGAAAUAAAAAGUACAUGAUCACAUUCAUUUGUGUGAUAACCAACAAGGAUAACCAUUCCUCAACAACUGGUUGGGUGUUCUUACUUGGGCAAGGUACCAUUUCUUGGGCUUCCAAUAAACAAUCUAACAUAACAAACUCGACAAUCGAAUCCGAGUUUGUUACGUUAGCAGUUGCUGAUAAAGAAGUAUAAUUUCCAAGGAAUUUUGUUUAUGAGAUUCCUUUGUGGUCAAAACCGAUAUCACCUACAUAUAUCCUUUGCGAUAAUGCAUCCAUUUUAUCUAAGGCACAUAUCCAAGUUUAUGAUGGCAAGUCUAGACACUUAGGUGUUAUACACAGUAUGAUUAGAGACUAAUCAUGAAUAGUGUGAUUUCGGUUGGGCUUAUGAUCUCGCAACAAAAUUUGGUAGAUCAAAUGACUAAUGGUCUGAAAAAGAGACUUAAUGCACAAGUCUGUUAUUGGGAUGGGAUUAAAGUCCACUUAAUUUUGUAAUGGUGAGACACCAAAUUCCUUUCUAAUAUGUCAUUAGGUAUUGAGUUCAAUGAGGAAAGCUCACACUUAUAAAUUAAAACAAAUGAAGUAUACAUCCUAGGUAUGUGUUCGGUUUUGCAAGUUGACCAGGUUGAAGUUGAACUUCUUAAUAAUUCCUUUGAUAAAAAAUUUGUGUAGAUACAUGAAGUAAAGGAAUUACCUACGUGAUCGUAAAGUAUAGACGCAUUACAAGAGGUUAGUAUUUGACCUUGAUACAGUCAUGAGAGGAUUACGACACACAACUUUAUGAUAGUGUCAAAUUAUAUUUCGCUAGAAAGCUCAAUAAACUACUAUGUAUUUUACUUUCAGGUAUUCAGUUGGGUUGAAGGGUUCAAUUCUUAGGACAUCCUGAUUAUCAAUUAUUUAAUUUGUUUGACACUAAAAUGGGAAUUCAAUCAUUUCGACAUUUUCAUUUAUGUACAAGUUUGCUUUGUUUGGAUAAUUUUAUGUUACUUCAUGGGCUACACUAAAAUGGUGGAGGGUUGUUGGUGAUUUUAGUGUCACCAGGAAUUUUUAGUAAUUGGAUCUCAAAUGUGAGUUAAGGACCUUAUUAUUUGUACUCCAUAUUAUAUGUUCGGUGAAAGCGUAGUGCAUGCAUAUAUAAGAUCGAAUUAUAAGCCGAUGAGACACAAUGACGGGGACCAAGGGGGUAGUUCCCCCUUGUAGGGUCGUAGAGGUAGCACCCCUAGCAGGGUCCAAGGGGCAGAGCCCCUAGUAGUGAUCCCACAGAGUUUGGAGCAACGCCCCAAAAGGUCUUCGGAAAUUUGAAUUAGUUUCAUUAAGUAAAAUCUGAAUUCUAAGGGGUGGUUAUGGUAAGAUUACCAACUCUUUUCAGUUUUGGAAACCAUUGAUUAUGCCAUUAAUUUCGAGAUUUACUUAACUAAUUUAAAGGAUUAAACCCUAAUUUGUCAUGCAUAUAUAUGACUCCUCUUCUGAACCAUAGAUAGAACCCUUCUUAGCUCUCCUUCUAAACGAACAUGGAACUCAUUGGCGAUUUGGCUUGUGUUUUUGUGCCUAGAUACACAAGUGUCUUUUUGGAUUAUCCUAAACUAGAUUUCCUGUAACCAGGCAUAGGGUGGAAAUAUCAAUUCAGAAAGUGAACAUACACAAUCCAUAAGGAAUCUGUUUUUCCAUCAUCACCCUAAUAUUUCCUCCUAUAAGAAGCAUCGACAUCAGUUUACAACUGAUUUGAGAAAAAAAAAGGACAAAGCAAAGUAGGAAGGUUGCAGAAGAAGGAAGGGAUGAAGAGUUGAUCGUUAAGAGAAUAGAUAUGCCGUCUUCUUUUUGUGAGGGGCGUUGUGUUUCUGAGCAAGGGCAAUUGACGGCUUUUUCUCAGUCAAAAUUAUUUUUUCUAUGAUCUGAUCGGAUGUUCAAGGACCGAGUAAGAGGCAUAAGUUGUGGUACCAAAUGUUCUGACUUGAACUGAGUCAGAGCUGACCUCUUACUAGACCAGUAAGUGGUAUAUCAAACUAGGCCUUAGGUAAGAUCAGAGAGGGUCAAGAAAGUAAAAUUUUCAACCAGGAAGUUUCUGUUAUGCCUAUUUGUACAUCAAAACCGUAUAACCACAACGUGGACUUGCAAAACAAGAGCAUGCUUGUGUUGGUAUAUUUGUUAACAUAUGUAUGCACCCCAUGGAUACAGUCAAGAAUGUUAUUCAAUCUUGUCAUACAUACCAAAGAUCUAUUCCAUAUUGUAACAUCCAGAAUUCCAGGUAUUAUAUUUUAUCAUUUAUAUUUGAGAAAAAGAGGGGGACUCGACGAGUUGAGUCAUAGACUCGUCGAGUAGGACCGUGACUGCUGACUGGAUUAAUGAACGGAAUCGACGAGUCGGAAAGGGUGGACUCAAUGAUUGCGCGUUGUGGAAUGAAACCCUAAUUCUCAGGGUCUGUGCCCUUUUAAAGGCCUUUAUGGCCACCAUUUGCGGCUACCAGUCUAGAGAGAGAUACCCUAGAGAAUGUGAGCGAGUUGUGAGAGAGUUUUAGCCUUAUUGACCGUUUUUGGUGUGAUUUUACAAAGGAGAAAGUGUUUCCAGCAAGGGGAGGUCAAGAGGAUUGCAUUUCAGUGGGUUUUCAGCUUCGAUCUUCAAGUUUGAGGUAGCUAUUCGAUCCUAACCUUCUGUUUUGCUUAUGGGCAUUGAAUUUAGGGUUUUCUAUACCCUUUUAUGGCUUGUUUAGUUGUGUAUAGUGUCCCAUUGAGUGCUAAACUCUAGAUCUGGACCUUUUGAGGUCCAGAGAGCCUGAACCAUGCUGCUUUUUGUGGUUCUAUGGAGCAAAUGGACAUAGGUUGCCAUGUUAGAAGGGAUUUCACCAAAAUAAGCCUUGGGGCAUUGCAUGAGUAGCAAGAUUCGACCUUUACGUAUUUAUUGGUCAUGGGGAAGUCAGAUCAAUAGAUUAGAGAAGCAGAUCUGACCUCAAGAGGUCAGAUGAGUGUUCUCAUGGGAGGAACUCGCCGAGCCCAUAAGCGACUCGACGAGUCGAGUCGGGUUACCCCGCGAGUCGCGACCUGUGAUGAUCCGUUGAGUGUGGGGUUGACUCAUCGAGUCAAGUGAGGACUACGGGCGAAGAGGACAUGCAUGUACGCGCCGAGUCACACGAGUGCACUCGAUGAGUCAGGUCAAAGUUUAACAGUUGACUUUGUUGACUUUUAGGGUUUAGUCAGUGUUUGGACUUAUGAGCCAUUAGAGGGCUAGAAUGGUCUUUUACCCUUCUAAGAGAACUUAUAGAGAGGGGUUAGACUAGCCUUUAGAAGUUGUAUUAAUUAGAGUAAUUAUUUAUGUGAUGAGGCGGAGGCUAGUGCAGUAUUUCAGAGUUCAAGGUUUACCAAGUUACCCGAGGUAAGUCUUCUCACUAUACCUUACCUAAAGGGGUAAUUAUAGUUAUGUGACAUAGUAUUGUAUGCUAUGUGUUAUCUAUGUGAUUAUGUGCUAUAUGUGCUUCAGAGUUUACAGAGUUAGGAUCGAAUGGUCCACAGAGUUAGGACCAGAGGGUCCACAGAGUUAUGGGAAUGGAGGGUCCCAUUGAGACACUUUGACCAGAGGGUCAUACAGAGUUAUAGCCACGAGUGGCUAAUAUGUGUUGCAUGUGGUAUUUUGGGGAACUCACUAAGCAUUUAUUCUUAUAAUGUUUGGUGUUAUGUGUUUCAGGUACCAGUGAGGAUCGCGGGAAGGCGCCGGCAUGAUCAGUACACACAUGAGGAGUUUUUAUACACUAUGAUCUUGUGUUGUGUUGUAUGGAUUGAUAUGUGAGACAAUGGGAUUUUAUAAUGUUUAUGAAUGAAAUUGUGUUUUUAAAAUUUGAAAAAUUGUUUGAAAAAUUACGGUGUUACACAUAUAUUGGCAACUCAAUUAUAUUUGAAAGAGGCAUGUUGUUUUGGUGCACUCUUACUCUGUUCUUAGCAAGGUUAGAUAUUCUAACUUAAAAUUGUUAUUAGAGCCUUGGUUUGAGGGAUUUGGGUGCACCUUCGGGCGUAUCUGAACUCAAACUGGGGAUUUGAGAGAUAUUCAAAUAAAAAAUCACAAAAUUUUUCUCAAGAAGUAAAAGUUUAGAAAAAAAAGCAGAGCAAAGCAGUGUGUACGAUCAGCCAGCGCCCGAACGGUGAUUUCCUAAAAUAACCUUAUAUUAUGUGUUAUGAGAUAUGAGAUAAUAUGUUACGCAUGCUAGACUAGGCUAGGUAUUAUUAUUAGGACUAGAGUGGCCUAAUUUGUGAUGCCUUAACCUAGGGGUUUUGCUGCUAGGAUAUGAUUGAGAGUGAGUAGAUAGAAGCGAGGAGCUAUGAGAGAUCUGCUAGAGAGUAGACUAUGCAUAGUGAGAGUAGAGUACUUGGGAUUUGGAAUCCAAGGACGAGGACUUGGGGUGAAUACUGAUGCGGUGCGGACGAUAGUAUUGAGCCCGUACUACUGAAGACACCGGAUCAAUGUGCAACCCAAGUAAGAAUCCUUAGGGUACCAGGGAUCCAGUAGGAAUAGGAUAUCGAUUGUGUGUACACUCGAGCGAGUAUCUGAUAUUUUGUGUUGUAUUUCAAAGAAACACCAUGGUUGGGACAUGCCACACACCUGAGAGUAGAGGUGUUAGUGAUCAAGAGAUCCGCAGGUUGAUUCAUGAGGAGGUGGCUGCUUCCAUCCACACAGAGAUUCCAGAGAUGUUUGGGUCUAUUAAGACCACGCUGAUUGAGACUUUUGAUGAGAGAUACGCAGCAGUUACUGAGGUUGCAACCGUUGUAGCUACCACAACUGUUGUUGCUGCCAGACCUCAGGGUGGGGAUUCGUUGCUGUUCCGAGAGUUAAGCAACACAAAGCCACAAGAGUUUGAUGGGACGCAGGAUCGGUAUGCUGCGAUGAGAUGGGUUUCUGAUAUUGAGGGAUGCUUAUAUAUAUGUUCAUGUCUGGAGCAUCUGAGGGUUCGGUUCGCGCUGAACCAGCUUCGCUUGGGAGCGAAGGACUGGUGGAAGUUUGAUACAGCGCACUAUUCGCCUGUUGAGCUUGCUGCGGUGACCUGGGAGAGGUUCACCGCCAUGUUACGUGAUGAGUACGUUCCCCCGGUGGAGAUGGAGUGAUUGGACCAGGAGUUUUUGACCCUCAAGCACGGUACUGAGUCUAUUACUGUGAUCACCAGGAUGUUCCAUGAGAGGGCGAUGUUUUGCCCUGAGAACGUGUCUACCAAGCAGGCACGUAUGAGUCGGUAUUUGAGUAUUUUGAGGAGGGACAUAUGAGAGGUUGUGGCGAACUCUUCGUACCUGACAUUUUCCGAGCUCCAGGAAAAUCCUAGGAAGAGGGAGAUAGAGCUGGAGACUCAGGCUAGAGAGGAGGCGGAGUCUCAAGGGAGGGAUCGGCGGUCGGCUCAUCCCCAGCCGGCAGCCAUGCGGGCCAGCCUGCUGAUUCGAGAUCAGGGAAGCAGAAGGGCCGCACUUGUGGCAAGUGCGGAAAGGGUCAUGAGGGGGUUUGUAGAGCAGAGUCUUUCUAUAUGUGUGGCAAGGAUGGGCAUAUAGCCAAGGAUUACCCCAAGGGGUUUGAAGUCUGUUUUCACUACAACCAGACCGGACACCGGAAGUUCGAGUGUCCGUAGUUGUCGGGGUUCAUCCCAGGGAGCACCACAAGGAUCUGCCCCUACUGCCGUUCGAGCUGUAGAGAGUCGGCCAGUGAAGGCCGAGGCGCCAAAGGCUCGCGAGAGAGCCUUCCAGUUGAUAGCGGAGGAAGUCCGCGCAGCGCCAGAUGUUGUGGUUGGUACAUUUCUUGUGAGUUCUAUACCUGCUUGGGUGUUAUUUGACUCAGGUGCGAGUCGGUCUUUUGUGUCGUUAGACUUUAGUCAACACAUCAGUAUCGGUCGAAAGGCGUUGAUUCGACCUCUGCGAGUUUCCAUAGCUGACGAGAGAGUGGUGUAUGCCACUAACGUGGUCCGAGGAUGUGUACUCGAGAUCUUCGGCGUUGAGUUUCCGAUUGAUUUGGUCCUGAUUGCGAUGGGAGAUGUUUGUGUCAUUGUGGGCAUGGACUGGUUGAGCAGGUUCGGUGCGGUUAUCGACUGCGAGCGGCAGUGGGUGACCAUACGAGGCCCUAGUGGAGGAGUUCUUACGGUUUAUGGCAAGGGUACCCGUUCUGGGUCAGCAUUUUGUUCGGCCGCUAGAGCGAGGUAGGGCCUACAACAGGGCUGUAGCGGGUUUGUGGCUUAUGUGGUGGAUACAAUAGUAGAUGCAGAGAGACCGAUGUCGAUUGAUGAGGUCCCGAUAGUGCGUGAGUUCCCAGACGUUUUCCCUGAGGAGUUGUCGAGAGUGCCUCCCGAGAGGCAGGUGGAGUUCCGUAUCGAUUUGGUUCCGGGGGCAGCGCCUAUCGUCAAGGCGCCCUAUUGCCUUGCGCCUCCAGAGAUGCAGGAGUUAUCCUCGUAGCUUCAGGAGCUAUUGGGAAAGGGGUUUAUACGGCCGAGUAGCUCACCGUGGGGAGCGACGAUCCUUUUUGUCAAGAAAAAGGAUGGUUCACACCGGAUGUGCAUUGAUUACCGGGAGUUGAACAAGCUGACAGUCAAGAACCGUUGCCCUUACCGAGGAUCGACGAUUUGUACGAUCAGUUGCACGGAGCUUCUUGGUUCUCCAAGAUUGAUCUGAGGUAUGGAUAUCAUCAGAUGAAAGUGCGAGAGGAGGAUAUCCAGAAGACAGUGUUUAGGACUCGUUAUGGCCAUUACAAGUUCGUGGUAAUGCCUUUCGGGCUCAUCAAUGCACCGACGACGUUCAUGGAUAUCAUGAACAGGGUGUGCAGGCCGAUGUUGGAUCAUUCAGUGAUCGUGUUCAUCGAUGACAUAUUAGUAUAUUUGAGAUCCAGAGAGCAGCAUGAGGAGCAUUUGAGGGAGAUCCUCGGAGUUCUGAGAUCGAAGAGGCUUUACAGCAAAUUCUCCAAGUGUGAUUUCUAGUUACGAGAGGUCCAGUUCUUAGGACACCUCAUCAACCAGAAUGGGAUAUUGGUCGAUCCGGCCAAGAUUGAGGUGGUGAUGAGUUGGGAGGUGCCGAAAUCCCCCUCAGAGAUCAGGAUAUUUCUGGGGUUGGCCGGCUAUUAUUGGAGAUUUAUCAGAGACUUCUCCAAUAUUGUUGUUCCACUCACCAGGUUGACCCGGAAAGGCAUAGCAUUUAGUUGGGGCCCAGAGCAGCAGGCCUCAUUCGAGAAACUUCGUCAUAGAUUAUGCGAAGCCCCAGUAUUAGCCCUUCCGGAGGGGAUGGAGGAUUUUAUGGUGUAUUGACAUGUCGAUAUCAGGUUUAGGUGCGAUGUUGAUGCAGAGAGGUCAUGUGAUAGCAUACGCAUCGAGGUAGUUGAAGCCUCAUGAGACUGAGUAUGAGAUGAUGUACCAUCCGGGCAUAGCUAAUGUGGUAGCCGAUGCCCUGAGUCGCAGGGCGGUGAGUGCCCCGUUACGAGAUAUUUCUUUGAGAUUGACAGUGAUGACUCCGGUGUUGGACACCAUUCGGGAGGCCCAGGUAGAGGCCAUGAGACCAGAGAACCGCAAAAGAGAGCGGGUGAUCGGACAUAUAUCUGAGUUCGUUGCCAAUAGUUGUGUGCUUAUGACCUUUCAAGGUUGGAUUUGGGUGCCGUUUGAAGGCGGGGCACGUACCAUUCUGAUGGAGGAGGGCAUAGAUCGAGGUUCUCUAUUCAUCCCGGGGCCACUAAGAUGUAUUUGGACCUGAAGAGGGAGUAUUGGUGGCCCUGUACGAAGAGGGAUGUCGUGUGGUUCGUAGAGAGAUGCUUGACCUGUCGCAGGGUGAAGGUCGAGCACCAGCGUCUGCAUGGCAAGUUGCAGCCACUUCAGGUUCCUGAGUGGAAGUGGGAACAGAUUUCCAUGGAUUUCAUCACCAAAUUGCCGAGGACUGCGAGGGGAGUCGAUGAAAUUUGGGUGAUUGUUGAUCGGCUGACAAAGAGUGCUCACUUUCUUGCUAUCAGUGAGAGCUUUUCUGUUGAAAGACUGGCAGAGUUAUAUUUGAGAGAGGUGGUAUCGCGGCAUGGAAUACCGAUCUCGAUCGUGUCAGAUCGAGAUGUGUAUUUCACUUCCAGAUUCUGGAAGAAAUUCCAUGAGGAGUUGGCUACAAGGCUAGAUUUUAGUACCGCAUACCACCCAAAGACGGACGGUCAGAGUGAGCGGACGAUUCAGACGCUCGAAGACAUGUUGCGAUCAUGUGUGAUAGACUUCGGAUGGAUUUUGGACACGUAUUUGCCAUUGGCUGAGUUUUCUUAUAACAACAACCAUCAUUCGAGUAUCGGCAUGCCUCCCUUUGAGUUGUUGUAUGGGAGGAGGUGUCGGAAUCCCAUAUGAUGGGGAGAGGCCGGGCAGCGAGUGAUGGGCAACACUGAGUUAGUGCUUCAGAUGACUGAGCGGAUAUAGCAGGUCAGACAGAGGUUGUCGACAGCACAGAGUCAACAGAAGAGUCAUGCGGAUACGCGAUGAUCCGAGCUUGAGUUCCAUGUGGGGGAUUUCGUACUCCUGAAGGUAUCUCCUUGGAAAGCAGUGAUCCGAUUCAGGAAGAGGGGCAAGCUGGGUCCCGACACAUUCAUCCGUUCAGGUGACUACGAGGGUAGGCAGGGUAGCUAUCAUCUGGAGCUACCUGCGGAGUUGAGCCAGAUCCACGAUACCUUCCACAUGUCUCAGUUGAGGAACUGCAUAGCCUACGAGUUGGCGGUGGUACCAUUGGAGGAUAUUCAGGUGGAUGCCAGCCUGAAUUAUGUUAAGAGGCCGGUUGCGAUUGUGGAUCAGAAUAUCAAGGUUCUGAGGAACAAGGAGGUGCCCCUAGUGCAAGUCCAGUGGCAACAUCGGAAAGGGUCCGAGCUGACAUGGGAGCCGGAGUUAGAGAUGCGUGAGCAGCAUCCAGAGUUGUUUGUGGAGCAAGAUUUUGAGGGCAAAGCCUGGUUCUAGUGGGGGAGAAUUGUAACAUCUGAAAUUCCAGGUAUUAUAUUUUAUCAUUUAUUUUUGAGAAAAAGAGAGGGAAUCGACGAGUUGAGUCGUAGACUCGUCGAAUAGGACCGCGACUGCUGACUGGAUUAAUGAACGGACUCAAUGAGUUGGAAAGGGUGGACUCGACGAGUCCGCGCUGAGGAAUGAAACCCUAAUUCUCAGGGUCUGUGCCCAAAUUAAAGGCCUUUAUGGCCACCAUUUACGGCUACCAGUUCAGAGAGAGAUACCCUAGCGAGUUGUGAGAGAGUUUGAGCCUUAUUGAUCAUUUUUUGUGUGAUUUUACAAAGGAAAAAGUGUUUCCAUCAAGGGGAGGUCAAGAGGAGUGCAUUUCAGUGGGUUUUCGGCUUGGGUCUUCAAAUUUGAGGUAGCUAUUCGAUCCUAACCUUCUGUUUAGCUUAUGAAUUUUGAAUUUAAGGUUUUCUAUACCCUUUUAUGGCUUGUUUAGUUGUGUAUAGUGUCUCAUUGAGUGCUAAACUCUAGAUCUGGACCUUUUGAGGUCCAGAGAGCCUGAACCAUGCUGCUUUUUUUGGUUCUAUGGAGGAAAUGGACAUAGGUUGCCAUGAUAUAAGGGAUUUCACCAAAAUAAGCCUUGGGGGCAUUGCAUGAGUAGCAAGAUUCGACCUUUACAUGUUUAUUGGUCAUAGGGAAGUCAGAUCAAUAGAUUAGAGAAGCAGAUCUAACCUCAACAGGUCAGAUGAGUUUUGUCAUGCGAGGAACUCGCCGAGCCCAUAAGGGACUCGACGAGUCAAGUCCGGUUGCCCCGCGAGUCGCGACCUGUGAUGAUCCGUUGAGUGUGGGGUUGACUCAUCGAGUCAAGUGAGGACUACGGGCGGAGGACAUGCNCUACGGGCGAAGAGGACAUGCAUGUACGCGCCGAGUCACACGAGUGCACUCGAUGAGUCAGGUCAAAGUUUAACAGUUGACUUUGUUGACUUUUAGGGUUUAGUCAGUGUUUGGACUUAUGAGCCAUUAGAGGGCUAGAAUGGUCUUUUACCCUUCUAAGAGAACUUAUAGAGAGGGGUUAGACUAGCCUUUAUAAGUUGUAUUAAUUAGAGUAAUUAUUUAUGUGAUGAGGCGGAGGCUAGUGUAGUAUUUCAGAGUUCGAGGUUUACCGAGUUACCCAAGGUGAGUCUUCUAACUAUACCUUACCUAGAGGGCUAAUUAGAGUUAUGUGACAGAGUAUUGUAUGUUAUGUGUUAUCUAUGUGAUUAUGUGCUAUAUGUGAUUCAGAGUUUACAGAGUUAGGACCGAAUGGUCCACAGAGUUAGGACCAGAGGGUCCACAGAGUUAUAGGACUGGAGGGUCCCAAUGAUACACUUUGACCAGAGGGUCAUACAGAGUUAUAGCCACGAGUGGCUAAUAUAUGUUGCAUGUGGUAUUUUGAGGAACUCACUAAGCAUUUAUGCUUAUUGUGUUUGAUGUUAUGUGUUUCAAGUACUAGUGAGGAUCGCGGGAAGGCGCCGGCAUGAUCAUUACACACAUGAGGAGUUUUUAUACACUAUGAUCUUGGGUUAUGUUCUAUGGAUUAAUAUGGGAGACAAUGGGAUUUUAUAAUGUUUAUGAAUGAAAUUUUGUUUUUAAAAUGUGUAAAAUUGUUUGAAAAAUUACGGUGUUACACAUAUAUUGGCAACUCAAUUAUAUUUGAAAGAGGCAUGUUGUUUUGGUGCACUCCUACUCUGUUCUUAGCAAGGUUAGAUAUUCUAACUUAAAAUUGAGCUCCGAUUUUGCGUGUAAUAUCUAACAAAGUUUUCAUAUUUGUUAUUUUAGCUUUAUACAUAUACAUACGACACUUUGAAAAAAGAUGCUGACUUGGCAUCAAGCACAUGCACAACCAACCAGUAUAUCAAUGGUUUGUUUUUUGGUCUUCAAGUCUAGGUAAUUGAAUUUGAUUAAUAAUUAGUACUAUUUUUUGUUUUUUUGUAGCUAUUAUGUGGAGGAUUAGCUCAACCUACUUCUUCUUUAUUUACAACUCGUUUGAUGUCUUGAAAACAAGCAGGCCCGACCGAUGAGGGUGGGCAAGCUGGGCGACGACCCAGGGCCUAUUGUUGGAUCGGGCCCUAAAGAAAUUUACAUAAAUAAUUAUAUAUAAGAAAUGUUAAUUUUUUUUUUAAAAAAAAUUAAUGUAGGCCUACUGAAAAAGGCGUUCUCUUUCCUUUCACUUAUAUCCAGGCUUGUCGCGAGUUCAAUUUUAGCGAUGCACAUCUUUCUCUAAAUUAUAUAUAAUAAAAACACAACAUCUUUAUGAACAAUACCUAACUCGGGUAUUGUUCAUCAGGUUUGUUUAACUGAGGUUAGUUUAACGCUUCUGUUACCCUACCGCCUCUCAUCUUCUACCGCCUCAGAUCCUUUCCAUUAAUCAUCUUUGAUUAUGUAGUUCUCUCUAUACACCCAAAAAAAGUCCCCGCUCCUUUACUUACCGUCUGCACAAGGAGACCACGAAAGCUGUAGUGGUUUCCUCACCACCAUACUCACCGGUCAGCCAGUUGAUUCCCGGCCGCCCCUACGCAGGGUAUGGUAUGAAAUGGGUAGCGAUUUUUGUUCACUUUCUUUAUUACUAUUACAAUUACUUUUUUCACAAACGAUGAGUUCACCAAUUGGUCUUCUCCUCCCAAGAUUUAGGGUGAAACUACCACCUCAACACCUUUGCACCUUGAUUUUAAAAAAAUAUUUAUAGGCGUUUUGCUUGCAGCUCCUCUCUAAUCAAUUAAACUGUACCCAUAUUUUAAAUUCUAGAUUUCUGAUUUCUGUGGUGAGAUAGAGCAAAGGAGGAGGAUGAUUUUGAUUACAUGCCCCCUUGGCUUCGAAAUUGAGUCAACUUUUUUUUAGACAUAAAACACCAUUUUUUUUUGCCUAUGUUCUAUCAUUUGUGUGACAUCCUGAAAUUUCCAAGCUUGUUUAAUCAAUUCAACCUAUUAGUGUUAGACUCAUUUUGCUUCCAGUUAUCACUGCUUGGAACCUAUUUAGACUGUUCUAAACCUAGUAUAUAAAAGGAAUAAGAGAUUGGAAAUAGGAGCUUAAGUUUUUAACUGCCUGCAACCGUAAACCUCCUCAAAAAGGGAGUUUAUGGUCAAGACCAAUGAGUUUACGGUCAUGGUGACCGUAAACCCAUCCCUAUAUAUAUGGCACUUAGCCAUUUUCAAUCACUUUUCACCAUUUCAAGCCUAAAAAUCGGAUUCUCACUCAAGGAUCAUAAACUUUUGCUUCCAAAUCUUCAAGAACAAGUAAGUAAUUCCUUCUUUAGAUGUUAGAUCCUUCCUAAAUACAUGUUUCACUCUUGAUUCAUCCAAGGAUUUCAUCUUUUACCUAGAUCAUCAAAAAUUCUCAAGAACACAGUUUUGUUUUGGACCGAAAACACCUACCUUGCCUUCAAAACAGUAAGUACCACCCUCCUUUACAUCUAUCUAGUUACAAUCCUUUAUUUUGGACUUAAGAUCAUCCCUCUUUACAUGAACAAAAGAGUUUAUGGUUCUAUGAAUCUUCAUAGACCGUAAACCCUUAUAAAGGGUGUUCUUAUAGCCUUUACCCUUCCUAAGGCUAAGCAUGGUCCCUAGAAUCUGAAACCUUUGAAUGAAGCCCUUGAAAACCAUCAUUUGUGCAAGAUUUGAUGAGUUUACGGUUGAAUAUCCUUAGACUGUGAACUCCAUGACCGUAAGGUCAUUGGACCGUAAACACUAAGACCGUAAACACCUAACAUCGUGAACACUUGGACCGUGAACUCCAAUGGUCAUACCUUUUUUACCGUAAACUCUUUAGGGUGGCCAUAUACCCUAUUUAUGAAAUCAUAUGUGAUUAUAUCCCAUAAAUCUUAGAGAUUCCUUGACAAUAAGGGUGUUACCCUUUUCAUUUAGUCGUCUAUACACUAAAUUCAUACACAUAUAUGUCGAUAUGUGUCUAUUAGGAUCAUUGUGUGCUCAAGGUUGCACCUGACACUCUGCAAUCCUCUUCCAACCACAUGUCAGAACCACUCACUACAGGUGAGUUCAUACCCCUUAAUCAACCUUUGAAAAUUCUUUUAUGGGGGGGGGGAUACAAGUUUAAACAUUCUAGUUAUUAUAUCAAUCACAUGUGAUUAAUAACUAGAACAAACAGAAAGAUUCUUCUAUUACUUUCAAGCUGUUAUCAAACUUAUGGAUUUCAAAUGCUUCAAAACAUUUUAUCAAACUCUUUUAUGCUAAAACUCUUUAUUAAAAUCUUUUAAACUUAUAUAUUGUCAAAAUCAUGUCUAUAUAGAUAUAGUUAUAUAAAUAAGGUUGAAAGGACUUAGGACUGAUAACUUACUUUAUUUCCUUCUCCUUGUUUGGUUGUGGACUUAGGGUAUUCGGUUGUUUAUCCGAGUGUCGUUUGAACCUUAGUUAUAUAUUAUGUAUUUGUAUAUAGAUAUAAAAGCUUUUAUUUAUAUUCAAUGCGCAAGCAGUUAUUCAAACAACAUUACUAGUAAACUAUAAUAGGUAUAGUUUAAGAGAUCACUACUCACUAUUACUAGUAAAAGGAAACAUACAAGAGUUUGUUCAUUUAUGAGUCGAUACAAACUUACUAUUAUGAGAAACUAAGAGAACAUACUAUUAUGAGAAACAAUACAUACUAUACACUAGUACAAAGAGAACAUUUCUACACUAUGACUUACUAUACAAACACUAGGAUACCAUAAUUUGAAUGUGAAAUACUACUUCUCGAUACAAUAAUACAUUGUUGUAUCAUUUGGUAACUAGAGUCUCCUGGAGGGAGAGCAGGCAUCGUCUGUAUAGAUCUAUACGGGACAGACACUCCCACACCCCGACUGCUAGCUACAGUCCUAGCCGGUAAGGCAAAGGGGUGACAAAAUGUCACCUCACUAUUUUAUGACGCCUAAAGGUGGUGAAGUAUUCAGCCGUCGAUCAGCAUGGUUACAAACAAAUUCACAUCGAAACCUUUAGUUGACCAACUAGAAUUAAAGGCAAUAAGACUCACCAAGGAGUAUGUUACAUUUAACUCGACCUUGAGUCUUCAUUUUUUUAUCAUUUCAUAGUUAGCAGUGUCACUGCUGAGGUAGAACGUACUAUUUUCCAAGUAGGGAUUAGAAAUGAUUGGGAGAAAAUAUACUUUUGCACAGUAAGAAAGUACUACUAUAUUUUUCCUACUAUUACAAAUACAUAUACAAACAUUACAAUUUUAUACAAGAACAAACAUGUAAAACAGUCGGGCUUCGGGUAAAAGCCUACAUUAUUUAUAAGAAGGAAAUAUAGGAUUUUCUGGGAAAACUUUACAAACUUUUCAAGGUUUUAAUACAAACAUAUAGUGGCUUUUAACUACUAAAUGACACUAAAUACUUAUGAACUCACCAACAUUUUAUGCUGAUACUCUCUUUCAAAAUAACUUUUAUUCUUAGGGAACCAGUAAGACAGGUACACCCAUGUAGCUUCUGAAGGGCCGAGUGGAUCCAAGACUCGUCUUUAUUUUGAUUAUACAUUUUUGGUGUCAUUUAAACCUUACAAAAGAACACACAUGUAUAUAAUUAUUCUAUUAAUGCAAUGGAUGUUGUUGCUUGUUCUACUAUUAUGCAAUGUUAUGAUACUGUACAUGACGUCUUCCGCCCCAGAACGUUUCUGCCUUUCCGGUUUUGGGGUGCUACAGAUUGGUAUCAGAGCAUUAUUUAUAGUGAAUCGAGUAUAUUAACACAUAAAAGAUAUACAAACUAUAAAUGUAAUGGGAUUAAUAUAGUCUGACCAAGAGUUUAUACUUUUAAAUAAUAAAAUAUUUAACUAAGUAUACAUACCUGCAUUCAUACUAAAAUAAGUGUCAUUAGGACAGAACAAAAGUAUUACGAUUGUUGAACAACACAAUUAGGCUUAGAGACAUAUAGUCAAAUCUGGGGGGAUAUAGCCUGAUCAACCAUAUUUUCCGAGGAGUGACUAGCAUGUGCCUAAGAAUGGUUGUGGUGUUGCAACAAGUCUAAAAACUUACCAAUACUACUACAACGAGAACAUUAGAACAGAGCGUAAACCUAAAAUACUAUAGGAGUAUUUUGUGUUACUAUAAUUACUUAUUUGAGAACUAAAAAGGUCUUUACUAGUAGGUCAAUAAUUGCUAAGUAGAUACGCUAAGGUUAUAUGUGACUAAGGUGUUGUAGACUUAGCAUCUUCGAUCUUUGCUUUACUUCUUGUUCCUUGUUUGGUUGUGGAUUUAGAGUUAGGGUCACUUAUUCGAAGGUCUAUCCUACUUUGAUUCCAUGUAACUGGUAUGCACUAUGCAAGUCUUGAAGUAACUAGUAAAGAUCAUCUUAUAAUUAUCUUAGGUAAUACGCCUAUGAGAUUUAAGAUUCUUAUACCCUUUUUUUCUCGCGUAGAUAUCAUGGUUGGAUUCCAUCCACCCGGCGACCCGUACUUCCCAAAUCAAGGCAAUGUUGGAUGGCUUGAAGCGGAGCCAGAAGAUGAUCAUCUUAUCCUAUUGGAUGAUCACCUCGCAGAAGGUUUUUCGGAUGGUUCUGACUCCGAGCCAGAAGUCAACAACCUGCCUCAAGAGGCUCAAAUCGCAAACCUCAACACCCGACCAUCAUUUCAAGGUGCCACACCCUUGUGGGCGACAAACUUGAACCAAUGGAUCCAUGAACAGGUUCAACCUUUACCCUUCAAUGGAGAUCGAAGCUUUUACAAUAUAAGCGAGGGAGCUCAGCUGACCGAGUCCUGUCCAUUAUGGUUUGCAUGAUUUCUCGGAAUGUGGAGCAAGGUCAAGCAGCCAUCGACCGAGUCAUGGAAAUUGACGCCAACUCUGGCGUUAACACGGUCCGCAUUCACCAACUCGAAGAGGAUAUGGAAAGGACUAGGAGAACCAAUGAGGCUCUGUAGCAACAACUAGCUGCAUCCUGAGCUGAAGUCAGGGAACUCCAAGUGCGUCAGAGGGCGCAUGAGCGACAUCUUCAAGAAGUUGUACAUCAACUGGUAGAUCUAAGGGUUCGCCCGAGGGAUACCCGUCAUCGGUAGAAGAUGUUGAAUCAUCUUUUCUUUUGGUUGAAGGAAUAGCCUUUCUUAUCUGUGCUCUAGGAAGUACUUUUCUGUAAUAUAUUCCUGUCUUUCAAACACUAUAACUAGAUUUCUAAGUUGUCAACAUUUUUCCCCUAUGGUUUGAUGUAAGACGAACUGUUAGGUCAUUUUUUUCCCGAAAUCAUUUACAUCAUUAAUACCAGUAAUAUUGACAGUUACCUAAUCUAUUGGGAAGUCUUUACUCUUGCGUUUCCCUACUCUAUUGUGGUGUCUCUAUUUCAAUCAUACACUCAUUCUAGUGGUUGGGCUUUGGCGAUUUAGUCCAUGGAUCACUCUCAUCAUACUUACAAUUGAUUCUUACUAUUAUCUCCAUCUCUAUGAACUUUCAGUAAAAGAUGCCGCACCGCAAGCGUCCAACCAGAGGCACGCCUGUAAAUCAAACUCCACCACCACCACCCCCUUUGCAGUUCGAUGCGGUGAUGUUUCAGGCUGCUAUGACCGCAACCAUGACUCAAGUGAAUUCAGGUGGUGCCAGUGGACCAGGAACAGGCACCAACUCUAACUAUGGUGAAAGCCAAUCCCGUACACAGGAGUGUACCUAUAAAGACUUCAUCAGCUGCAAACCAGUGUUCUUCAACGGAACCGGAGGGAUCAAAGCGUUGUCCCAAUGGAUCGAAAGAACAGAAGCAAUAUUUUAGAUGUGAUCUUGUCCUGAAGGAAGCAAGAUAAAAUUUGUUGUCCGCACCUUCAUUGAAAGGGCCCUGACAUGGUGGAAUGGCCAUGUCAAAUCACUCUCACUGAUGGUGGCUAAUGCUAUGGGCUGGGAGACGUUGAAGGACCUAAUAGAAAAGGAGUACUGCCUGAGGGGCGAAGUUCAAAAACUCGAAGAGGAACUGUGGAACCUUAAGAUGAAGGGUUCCAACAUAGUGGCUUAUACAACUAGAUUCAGUAACCUAGUAACUCUAUGUCCCAACAUGGUCCCCACUGAAAGAAAGAAAGUCGAGAGAUACAUCUGGGGUUUGGUACCCUCGUAUCGAGGAAACAUUCUAGCAUCGAACCCUGCAACCUUUGAUAGUGCCAAGCAAUUGGCCCAGAGGCUUAUCGAUCACGAGGUUCCUUCUCCACCAACAACAACUACAAUUGUUGUCUCAACACCAACCAAAGUGGCUGACAACAAGAGAAAGCGUUGGAACUGACAAAAGGGCAAAUAAGCACAACCCUCUUCAAAGAACCAACAUGUUGUUGUUGUCUGUGCUGCCACAACUCCUAUUGCCCCUGUACUCGCAAAGCCAUGUGCAGGGAGCCUACCCAAGUGCACUAAGUGCAACUUCCAUCAUAACGGCCCCUGCCGGGAAAUGCCCUGCACCAACUGCGACCGGAAGGGCCAUACUGUCCGGUUUUGCAAAGCACCACCCAGACCCAUCACCCAGGUCCCUGGUACAGGAGUAAGCUAGGCCCGCUACGGGUGUGGUAAGAUAGGGCACUUCAAAAGAAACUAUCCUAAGGCUGGGAAUGCGGGAGGAGUAGGGAGACUACUUGCUAUUGGCCAUAAUGAAGCAGUGGCAGACCCCACAGUAGUCAUGGGUACAUUCCUCCUUGAUAACUCAUAUGCAUGUAUCCUAUUUGAUAGUGGGGUAGAAAGGAGCUUCGUGAACCAAAAAUUUAAAAACUUACUUAAUCAUGCACCUCAAGCACUAAAAGAAAACUUCUUCAUAGAAAUGGCUAACGAAAAGACAGAGAGUUCUAACGAGAUUUUCAUAGGUUGUACCCUCACACUAGAUAAUUAUACAUUUCCAAUCGGCCUCAUAUCCGUGGCAAUCAAGAGUUUCUACGUCAUUAUGGGCAUGAACUGGUUGAGUCUUCAUCGUACCGAUAUUCUGUGUUUUGAGAAAGCAUUCCAUCUAAACCUACCGAAUAACGAAACCUUGUUGAUCUACGGGGACAAACCCAGUACGAGCCUUCGAAUCAUCUCGAGCAUCCAAGCCCAGAAGUACCUACGAAAGGAAUAUCGUGCAUUCCUUGCUCAUAUAGUCGAUGUGAACCAAGAAACCAAAUACCUAAAAGACCUCUCUAUAGUACGAGACUUCCCCGAUGUGUUUCUGGAAUAACUACCAGGGUUACCUCCGCAACGCCAAGUCGAGUUCAGAAUCGACCUAGUGCCAGGAGCUACCCCAGUAGCCAAAUCGCUCUAUCGUCCAGCACCGACAGAAAUGCGGGAACUAUCCAGCCAACUUAACGAACUGCUCAGCAAGGGAUUUAUAAGACCAAGCUUCUCACCAUGGGGAGCACCGGUCUUGUUCAUCAAGAAGAAAUACGGAUCGUUCAGUAUGUGUAUCGAUUACAGGGAACUGAACAAACUGACGGUCAAAAAUCGUUAUCCCCUACCCCGUAUAGACGAUUUAUUCGACCAGCUGCAAGGGUCGAGCUAUUUUUCAAAGAUUGAUUUGAGAUCCGGUGUGACAACCCGAAAUUUUCAUUUGUAUAAACUCCGCAAUCAAGCACAUCAAAAAUUAUCCAAAUUCAUCUCAAAACAUUUUUGGCCUGUUUUAAGUCCGUUUGAGUAUUUGAUCUUAAUUUUUCGUCAAACGAACAAUUAAAUGGAAGUGUCCGUUAGGAGUGUUAUAUAGAAAAUAACCAUUUAACACCUUGAAUAGGUGUUUAUGGCCAAACAAGGGAGUUUGCACCGAAAACCCCAAUGGCUAUAUAUAUGGCACUUAACCAUUUUCCUUCAUUUCUUUUAUUUCAAGCUAGAGAAAACCCGAUUUCUCUCCCAAGGAUCUUCAAGCUUUCGUCCCAACCUUCGCAUACAUAAGUACUUCUAUCCUAGAUUAUAUUAAGGCAUGUUAUACUUCCAUGUAUCAAGAAAUCACCCAAUAAACACCAAGAACAAGUUGUUCAUGGUCCAAGGUGUUCUUGGACCGUAAACCCUAAAAUGGGUGCCAAAGUGUGCCCUAGUUCCUCCUAAGCCUUCACAACUAGCAUAGAUCCUUUCCUUGACGAGUUUAGCACUUGAAAAACACCAAAAACCCCCCAAGAACAUGAGUUUAUGGUUUGGGGACCUCCCAAAACCGUAAACACCUUCAAAAGGGUGUUUUGAUGCCCUUAACACCUUAUAUGGCUUGUAUAUGUGACUAGGACUUUUCAUGCUUAACCUAGAUACACCAAAACACGAAAGGAAGGGGCAAACAUGAGUUUACGGUCGUAAAAUCAUGUGUUUACUGCCAUAAACUCCCCAAGGAGUGGUUCAAAAACCGUAAACUCCAAAGAAGGGUCAUCUUGAACCCCAAUCACUUCCUAAGCCCUUGAUUCGAGUCUAGCAUAAUUCAUUUAGUAGUUUAAGACCUUUGAGCACCCAAUGACACCAUUGCCAUGUUUUUACAACCAUAAACUCAUGGUGGAAAUGGUCGCAGAACCGUACACACCCUUAAGGGCCACCAUUUGAGGAGUAAACUACAAUGUGAGGCCAUACACUCUUUAUAUGCAACCUUUAGUAGUCCUAGCACUUGUGGUAAAGUUUUUCAUGUAUUAGGAUGUCUUUACUUGCAUAAUUAGUUAUUAAAAUGACUAAUUUGAUACUUCAAUGUAUCAUUACAUGUUAAAUAGGAUUCGCGUGUGUGGUCAAGUCCUCACUUGACACUUAGCAUCCUAUACCAUCCGUUCAUCCGAAUCACCCACGUCAGGUGAGUUCAUACCCCUGAAUUAACCUUUUAAAUGAUUUUAAAUUCUUUUAUGGGGGGGAAUACAAUUUCAACUAUAGAGUUAUUAUAUGAAUCACAUGUGAUUAAUAACUGUAUAGCAAAUAGAUUUCUACAUGAUAAACUGUUUUAUCCAGCUAAUGGUUUUCAAAGCUUGUUUUAUAAAUUGACAUCAAGUCAUAAAUCCUUAUUUAUAUGUUUUUCCAAAAGUUUUACCAAAACUUCUUUUUUAUAGUCAUGUAUUGUUAAAUGCAUGCUUGUAUAUGUAUAGUUAUAUAAGUAAUGUUUAAAGGACAUAGGAAGGCUAACUCGCUUUAAUUCCUUUUCCUUGUUUAGAUGUGGCUUUAUGGUAUCGGUUAUCCGUCCGAAGGUCGUUUAAAUAGUAGUUAUAUAUCAGGUAUACAUAUGUAGUCAUAAAGGUUCCAUCAGCCAAAUCAUCAACCUUUGGGUAGCAAAGGCAUCUAGAUAACUUCUCAAGUAAACUAUAAUAGGUAUAGUUUAGAAACCAACCAUAACAUUCAUGAAAGAGAACUUAGUUAUAUUCUAGCACUUAUACUUUUUACUAAAGAGAAAGGUUAUAGAAUUCGAAACAUGAGAUACGUCCUCAUGACACAGAUUCCACCGUUUGUCGAGUUGGUAACCAGAGUCUCCUGGAGGGAGAGUGGGCAUUGUGUAUAUAGCUACAGUCCCACAUAUUGACUGCUAGCUACAUUCCCGGCUGACCAAGCCAAGGGGUGGCAAAUGUCACAUUUAUUCUGACGCCAUCAGGUCGUCAAGUAUUCGAUUGUCGAUCAGUAUGGUUAUGCGUAUCUUUACGUUUACCUUAUAACUCAUGGAUUUAAGGUAAUAAGUGUCAUCAUGGUAUUUCCUAUAUAUAUAUAUAUAUNNNNNNNNNNNNNNNNNNNNNNNNNNNNNNNNNNNNNNNNNNNNUAUAUAUAUAUAUAUAUAUAUAUAUAUAUAAGAUUAUCAUCAUGUAUAUCUUCCUAGUUAUACACUAGGCCAUGUAUUAAAUCUUUAAAUAAACCUACUUAGGAUUAAAGAUUCUUUUAGAAUUUGCAAGACGUAAUGCUCAUUAAUACUGUCUGCAGUCCGUACUUCUUUCUUUUAGACUUUGCUAGAUGUAUUAUUCAUUCGAUACCGUCUAAAGUAUGUACUUCAUUCCUUUUAGACCCUCUGAGGCAUGUUGUUCAUUUAACACUACCCUAGGGUGUGUAUUUGAUUCUUUUAGACUUUGCGAGGUGUUCCGCCUGGAGUCUAUGUUUUGUUUACCUUUUUGACUUUGCUAAGCGUACUGUUCAUUUAAUACUUCCUGGAGUCUGUAUUUCAUCCUUUUAGACUCUCUGAGGCGUGUUGUUCAUUCAAUACCAUCAGGAUUCUAUGUUUUAUUUACUUUUAACCAGCAGCGUUACUACUGAGGCAAAAAUAUUAUUUUCCCUAUUACUUAUGAUUGUGAUCUUCUCACUUAUUCUUUAAAGUAUAAAUCAUAAUUUGAUAAUGAUAGUACCUUUAAGUGGAAAAUGUUUCUUAAACAUAAAACAAUUGGGUCUCGGUAGAAGACCACUUUUAUUAGAAAAUAUAGGAUUUUCUGGAAAAGAAUUCUAACAUUCUGUAGAUUGUAAACCACCGUCUCUCAUGAGAUUAUUUUGAAGAUAAACAUGUAUUUAUACUAAUGUCAUUAAAUACUUAUGAACUCACCAGCACUUAAAAAUGAUGAUACUCGCUUUCAAAAUAACUUGUAUUCUCAGGUCAUCGGUAGAUAGGUACACUCCGGGAGCUUUUGUGAAGACAGCUUAGUACCGAGCUGCAUUAUAAGUUAUUUUCUGUAUUUACCUUGUUGUUGUUGCUAAAUGUAACCUAUGUAAAAUUAUUAUUGUUAAUGCAAUGGUUGUUGUACUUUGAUUACUAUACUGCAUAUGUUGUGAUACUUGACAUGACGUCAUCCAUCCCAGAACGUUUCCGUCGUACUCGGUUUUUGGGGUGUGACAUCCGGGUAUCACCAAUUAUGAGUGUUAGAGGAGGAUGUUCCAAAGAAAGCCUUCCGAACUCGUUAUAGACACUACGAGUUUGUAGUGAUUCCAUUCGGAUUGACCAAUGCGCCCACAGUAUUCGUGGACUUAAUGAAUAAGGUAUGUCGUCCUUACUUAGAUCAGUUCGUCAUUGUCUCCAUCGAUGACAUACUUAUCUGCUCUCGAAGUAACGAGGAACAUGGUGAUCAUCUACGACAAGUCCUAGGAACCUUACGAUCAUAGAAGCUCUAUGCGAAGUUCUCUAAAUGUGAAUUUUGGAUCCGAAGAGUCGAAUUCUUAGGUCACGUGGUUAGCGAAGAAGGAAUCCACGUAGACCCUUCCAAAAUUAAAGCCAUCGAGAACAGGUCAGGACCAAAGACGCCUAUAGAAAUUCGUCAAAUUCUAGGACUUGCUGGCUACUACCGCAGAUUCAUAUAGAACUUCUCCCGAAUUGGGAAACCUCUUACGACAUUGACCCAAAAGGGCGUGGCCUUUGACUGGGAAGAGAAAAAAGAGAUGGCGUUUCAAACACUGAAGCAAGCCUUAUGCACCGCACCGAUACUAUCUCUCCCCGAAAGGAUAAAAGACUUCGUAGUUUACUGCGUUGCAUCCAACCAGGGGCUCGGCUGUGUUCUGAUGCAACAAGGUAUGUUCAUCGCCUAUGCCUCAACACAGCUGAAGACACACGAGGUCAACUACACCACACAUAAUCCUGAGCUAGGAGCAGUUGUGUUUGCUCUGAAGAUCUGGAGAAACUAUUUGUAUGGUUCGAAAAACACUAUCUUUACAGACCACAAAAGCUUACAACACAUAUUCGACUAGAAGGAGCACAACAUGAGACAACAACGGUGGGUCGAGCUACUCAAUGACUACGAAUGCAAAAUUUGUUAUCAUUCGGGUAAAGCCAACGUAGUAGCAGGCGCCCUGAGUCGGAAAGAAUAUUCUGGUCAAAGAGUUAAAUCAUUGACCAUGACUAUCCACUCACACCUGUCCAUGCAAAUCAAAGAAGCUCAAAUCGAGGCCUUGAAACCGGAAAAUGUGGCGAGUGAAUCCCUAAGAGGGAUGGAUAAGAACAUGGAAUUCAAGGGUGGCGGAGCCUUAUAUAUCAUGGACCGGAUUUGGACACCGAAACAUGGUGGCUUCAGAGACUUGGUCAUGACCGAAGCACAUAAUACUCGAUAUUCCGUCCAUCCAGGUUCAGAUAAUAUGUAUCUGGAUCUUAAGAAGUUAUACUGGUGGCCUAACACGAAUGCAGAGAUUGCUACCUUCGUGAGUAAAUGUCUUACUUGCGCAAAGGUUAGGUCGAAUACCAUAAACUGUUACGUUUACUCCAACAACCGGAGAUACCGGAAUGGAAGUGGGAGCAGAUCACAAUGGACUUCAUAACCAAGUUUCCCAAGACUACUGGUGGUCUCGCUACCAUCUGGAUGAUCGUUGUGUAACAUCCCGAGUUCAAGAGUGCAAGUUCAGGGUUCAUAGUGAAAAUGUGAAUGGUCAACUUGGCGAGUCCAUGGGUGGACUCGGCGAGUAGGGUCGUGAUUCUGUUCGCGUGUUAAGUGGCAACCUCGGCGAGUCGGCGGCUGGACUCGGCGAGUUGGUGCUGUGUGGAGAAAACCCUAAUCCCAGGGAUUAAGCCUUAUAUAAAGAACAUAAUACCCUCUCCCCAACCUCUUUACUCUCCCUUGAAGUCCAGAAACCCUAAUAUUCAUGUGUGAGAGAAUUAGAGAGCAUUUGGAUCUUGAAGGAGUGUUUGUUGAAGAAAUUUUUGAAGAUUAAAAGGGUUGGAGCAAGGGGCUUUACAAGUUUUUGGCUUAUUCUUCUGUUGGGGUCUUCUCUUGAGGUAAUGAUUCGUUGCUUGAGCUGUUAUCCAUCUAGAUCUAUCAUUUGUGGGAUUUUUGGGAGUAUAUCUAGUGUUAUCUUGAGUUUGGAGGUUGGAUCUGAUGUUGCUACCUUAGAUCUAGAGUAGUGAUGAUCCAAAAGAGCAUAAAUUCCCUGUUCAAGAGUUGUUGAUGAAGCCUUCUAGUCCCAAACCUUAGCCAAGAGUGUUUUAUGCUUAGAUCUCCAUAGAUUCACGUAAAGUUUGCCACUUUACAUGAUGGAUGGCAUGUAUAAGAGUAGAUCUAUGAAUUUGAGACCCUACAUGGCUUGGAAAGCCUCUGGAUGGGUUAAGAGCUAGAGGUACUCGGCGAGUCACAUGGGUGUACUCGGCGAGUUGCAAGAAGAUAGGCAGAAACUCGACGAGUUGGAAGAACAACUCGGCGAGUUGGUUGAAGAUAGCCUUGGACUCGGCGAGUCUGGUCAUGAGGUCCUAACCUUUUCUGGUUAUGUUGUGAAUCAGUGAGUCCAGGGAUGACUCAGUGAGUUGUGUACGGUUAGACUCAGAGUUUUGGGACUCGGCAAGUCUUGGGGCGACUCGGCGAGUUGAGUCGAGUUCUGGAAGUUUCAGAGCAUGGGGACUCGACGAGUCAGCGGGCUGACUCGGCGAGUAGAGUCAGUCAGGAGGGUUGACUUUAACUAAGGACUUUGACUUUGACCAAGAAUUGACCAGUUGACUUCCAGGGGUAAUUUGGUAAUUAUGGGUAUUUAUUGAGUUCAGUAUUUUGGUAUUGAUCAGUGGUGGAGUUCGUGUCGGAGGUUGGAGCAGCAUGAUCUUAUUUUUCAGUCAGCAGUUGCGAGGUGAGUUAUCCUCACUAUAUCAAUAGGGUCUAAGGCACCAAGGCCGGCCCUUUAUCGGAUUGUAAUCCGGGUUUUGUUGUUAUGUUGUUGCUUGAUCUUUUUGCAUCCGGGAAGUUAGGAUGGUAUAUGUUAGGGACCUGGUUAAGGUCGGUAUCCUGGAAUAUAGGAUGAUGCUAUGCUAGUGACCGGUUAGGUCGGUAUCCUUGUUAGGAUGAGGUUAUGUUAUGAGAUCUGCUAGAUCGGUUUGGUUGGAUGUGGAUUGUUAUAUGAUUAUAUGUUUAUGCGCACAUGGUUGUUGGAUUGGGUUUGGGUUGAGGCGGGUCCUGCGAGCGGUUCGGUUAUCCCGAUGGCCCAGCGAGCGGUUCGAAUAGGUUGUAGGCCCCACGAGGGCGAACCAGACGUGCCGAGGCUCGGAGAGUGGACCAGGCCGACUGAAGGCUCGGUGCGGGCGGACCAGUCAUACUGUAGACUCAGAGAGUGAACCAGGUGGGUUGAAGGCCCGGUGUGGGCGGACCAACCACACUACAGACUCGAUGGAUAUGGCUAGACUCGGAGGGUGGACCAGGUGGACUGAAGGCCCGGUGCGGCGGACCAGUCACACAGUAGAUCCAAAGUGCAUGGUUGUUCUGUGUUCUGUUAUGAUAUGGCAUGUUAUGUGUAUGGUAUAUGAGGUUGGUAUUUUGGGGGUAUCUCACUGAGCUUUCGGGCUUACAGUUGUGGUUUAAAUGUUCCAGGUACUUCAGGAGACUGUGGCAAGGCAAAGGCGUGAUCGUCCCGCUCCACAUGAUUAUGUUUUUAUGAUAUGGUUCUGGGAAGACUCUGAUAAUAAUUUUAUUGAAAACCUUUUUGUAAUAACUUAAUGAAACUAGGUUGUUUUUGAAAAUUUUAAAUUGGUUGGAAUUUUUAGAGUGUUACACGUUGACAGGUUAACCUAGUCUGCACACUUCCUGCACAUUAAAGAAACUGACAAGAUGGAGAAGCUCACAAGAACAUACAUUCGGGAGAUUGUACGAAUGCACGGUGUUCCCAUAUCCAUUUUUCUGAUAGAGAUAGUAGAUUCACUUCUAGGUUCUGGCAGUCACUACAAAGUUCCCUAGGAACGAGGCUGGACAUGAUUACAGCCUCCCAUCCACAGACCGACGGACAAAGUGAGAGAACUAUCCGAACGUUGGAAGAUAUGUUGCGAGCCUUUGUGAUCGACUUUAGGAAGGCAUGGGAUACACAUUUACCCCUUGUCGAGUUUUCCUACAACAACAGUUAUCACACGAGCAUAAAGGUUGCUCCAUUUGAAGCCCUAUAUGGCCAUAAGUGCAGAUCCCCUAUGUGUUGGGCUGAGGUGGGUGACACACAGUUAGCUAAAGGGCGAGUUCUUGAUAGCACUCUCACUGGUUCGGAGAUCAUUCGGGAAACAACAGAGAAGAUCGUUCAAAUUCGUGAACGAUUGAAAGCCUCUAGAGACCGACAGAAAAGCUAUGCUGAAAAGAGAAGGAAACGAAUGGAAUUCCAGGCACUACAAGAAAAACAGCCUUUUACGACGCGCAAUGCAUGUCGUAAAAUGCUCAGACGACGCGCAAAUGUGUGUGAAGGAAGACCCUAUCAUAACGAGAGACGACACGCUUUUGCGCGUCGUCUAUUUAUGACGCGCAUUCACGACGCGCUCUUACGAUACACAAUGCGUGUCAAGGAAGGCCCUGUGAUAAAGAAGACGACACGCAUUUGUGUGUCGUAACGUUACCACAUGCGUUUACGACGCGCAUUGCAUAUCAUUAAAGCCCCUGUCAUAAAUAAAGAUGACACACAUUUUGCGUGUCAGAAUUUUAAACGUUAUAUAUAUAUAUAUAUAUANGGUAUAUAUAUAAAUAUAUAUAUAUAUAUAUAUAUAUAUAUAUAUAUAUAUAUAUAUAUAUAUAUUUGAUAAUUUUUAAAUUAAAUAACACAUUUAAAGUCUCAUAAUACAAAAUAAAAUACAAAUAUAACAAAAAAAUCCAUUUCAUAUAAUAAAUGUACUAAUAUUCAAAAUAAAUCACAUUUAAUUUUUAUUUGAUUAACAUCGGUAAAACUAGAAAAACAAAUCUUCAUAAUCCAAAUAAUGACAAACAUAAAACACAAACUGUUUUGGAAACCUGGAUCUUUGUUAUUUGUGCACAAUGUAAUAGCACCUCUAUUUAUUAACUACCAUAGUGUUGAUUCGACUUCUUCCACUGUUUUAAUCCCUUGUCAUUCUUCAAAUACCAACAUCUAUAUGGUAAGCUACAUCGAGAAUAAAACAAAGGUAAAGUGAGUGUUUAAAUAGGUGAACCAGAACCAUCAAAGAAAAAAAAACCAUCAAACCAACACUGAUUUGAUUUGCUCCCAAAUUCCAUCACUUACUUGAUUCUGAUUGUGAAACGCACAUGCCUCUGUUCCUUCAGAUCUUGUAGCAAUCAGCACCCUUUAGGCUUUCACAUCCGACUUGCUUUUGUGCAAACAAUUGGUACUAUGUCCAUUAUAAUUUUUAGGACAAACCCAUCCAACAAUACAACAAAAAGAAGCAAUUGCAUUUUGAAUUUUCAAUUCAUUACACUUCCCAGAUCUCAAAUAUCCAUGAUACCACCCAGUUAAUCCAUAUAAGUAAGACCACCCCAAAUAAAAAAAAUGCAGAUUAACAGAGGGAAGCAGUAGUCAUCUAAAAAGUGGAAAUUGUUGUAGUUUUCAUGGGAUCCAAAAGUAACAGAGGGUGUAAACAAUACACUCAUCUUAUAUACAAGAAGCAUAAAAGGUGAAUUGAAAAAGUGUCAAGCCAUCUCAUAAACUACCUGAAUGCGUGCUCCAGACCAUGUAUGCAGUUUUUUAAUAGUUUCCCUACAUUUCCCAAUUAUUAUACCAAUCUACAGGAAAUAAAAAAAAUUAAGAAGUUACAAAAAUCCAAAGAUUAAUUGAAAAAGUGUAAUAAAAAUGGCCUUAAAAAGCAUGAGUUUACAUUAGAAUACAUUGUAAAAGUGUAAUAAAAAUAAUGAUGUAUUAUUAAGAAACAAAAUAUUUAUCAAUUAAUUGCCAAGAAUAAUCCCUUGCGCACCCCUGUAGUAAGAGCUUGUUAGUUUCCUGAAUCUCUCCUGUCCAGCUACAAUACCAAUUUUACAAUUUUACUUUAUAUAGCAUGAAAGGAUAAAAUCAAUGAUUAAGAUAAAAAGACAUGUUCUAGAGGAAUGAACUUUGUUUUGAAAACAAUAUUAGCAAUGUUUACCAGUGUCCCAUAUUGUAAGUAUUAAUCUUUUUCCUCCAACUGUAAGCUGCUUCAUUUUGAAGUCAACACCUGUCUAAUAUGAGCAGAUACAAGAAUAAUAAGUACAUUUCCAGCAACAUUUUUAUCAAAUUACCAUUUGCAAUGAUAGGUUAGAUCUCAUCACUCAAACAUAUUGGAAUUUGGCUUUCAAUUUGUCAAAUAACUAAAUCUUCACACAAAACAGGGGAAUUUUAUGGAAGAAAAUGUUACUAAGAUUAUUCAAACAGAUAUGGGGAUAUGAAAUUGCAAAGUAACCUUUUCAUUUGGAACUUGUGUGUGAACUUUUAUGUGAACAGAUAUGGGGAUACGAACAACAUGUUUGUAGACUAUAAUAAGGUAAGAUUUGUGCUCCCUUGAUUCCUAACUACAAUAUAGGACUGUGGAUAUCAGUUUCAGAUUCAAGUAUUAAAUAUAAAUAUAUAAUUCCAGCCAUGUCUUUCUUUAUCUUUAACUUCUCUAUCAUGACUCUUUUCCCUGUCCGUUUCACUCCCAUGUCUUUCUGAUCUUGCUUCCACUUCGAUGUGGUCUUUCUUGUUCUUUCUCUUUCUCUUGAUAUCUAUCUUCCUUUUCUUUCUAAGGUUAAUGUCCAUGUUGCCUUUUUACCCUCACAUUGUCCCUCUCCCUAUCCCUGUCACCACCUAUGUCUCUUUCUCUUUCUCUUUCUCUAUCUUUAUCUCUACCCUUUCCAUUUCUGUCCUCCCUGCUCCUAUCUUUAUCCUUAUCUCUGUCUCUUGUUUCACGGGUACCCCUUUGUUUAUCUCUAUCACUCCUAUCCCCAUCUUUUGGAGAUGAACGAUGGUGAGAAGAGCGUCUCAUCAUCCUCUUCUAAUGGAGCCCUGCAAUAUUUAUAUUCAUCCACAUUCUCAUAUUAUGCAUUCUCUCUCAUAUAUGAUAUAUCCAAAUCCAAAUGCUAAUCAAAUGGAAAUGAAGACCUGUCUUACUCCCAAGGCUGGUUGCAAUGGUGUCAUCUUCUCAUAAGGAACCUACAACCUCAUAUUCAUAUCAUUCUUAACUCUAUAUGUAUGAUAGUAAGUAAAAUUGUGUAUUUAAUUAUUACCUUGGCUGUCACAAGAUCCCAUAAAACAAUCGCAAAACUGAAAACAUCCGCCUUUUCAUCAUAUUGUUGAUGAUUUAUAACCUGCAAACUGUUGGAUUAGUGUCUAAGACUGUAACUAUAUUUGGUAAGUACUUGACCCGGUUGUGCAUGGUCCUUUUAGGUUGCCUUCACCAUAGCAACUUGACAGGGUGAUUUAUAAAGAGAGAAGAGAUAUUAUUAUUAAUAUAUUAUGAGAGUAAUAUAUUAAAGAAAUAAUAAUAUUAUUUGAUUGAUGUAAGUCAUAAAUUAAUUAACAAUUAAUUUGGUGACUUAAAGAGGUUAAUUGAAUAAAGGGGCAUAAACUGUCAAUUGUGUGAUAGUUAUGUUUUUGGGCUAUGAAUCUUUAUGGACAUUAGGAUGGACGAUUUUAGGGAUUGGAUAUCUUAAAAAUCGUUCAAGCCUUAUAUCUAGAAGGAUCUUUGGAUUGCUUAGGGCCUAAGUUAUUCAAUUAGGGUUAAGGGUGUAACCCUAGUAGCUCAUAGUAUAAAUAGAUUGCAUGGGUGAGGGAAAUCGGCCACUCUUGCAAGAAAAAAACCCUAGAGCCGAUUUCCUCACCUCUCCUCUGUCUCAAAAUCAACCUCUUGCUAGUUGGUGUUUGUAAGCCAUUAGAGGAGUGACAAUUGUGACUCUAAGCUCCAAGAACAAGAAGUUUCAAGCAAGCAACUUAAGGUAUUCUUCUAGAUCUGAUUUCAUAUGAUAUGAUUCAAUUGUUUACACUAGAUCUAGAAUUGUAAGCCUUGGAUACAUUGCAUGUUCAAUUAGAGAAACCUAGAUCCAAGCAUUAGGGUUUGCAUGUGCACAUAGGAAAGUUCUUAUGGCUCAAACCCAUCAGUGGUAUCAGAGCUUUGAUUUAUUUCUAUUGAAUUGAUGCUUUGGUUGAUUGUUUUUGGUUGAAAAAUUCAUUUUUUGUGCCUCUGACUGAUGAACUCGGCGAGUUCCAUUGUGGACUCGGCGAGUUCAUAGUGGAACUCGGCGAGUUCUAGCGUCAGUUAGAGCUGAUUUCGGGAUUUCUUGUUGUUUUGCUUGAGGAUACUUGCCUUAAUUGUUUUGGGUCAUUAAUAUCCGAAUUUUAUCAUAUAUUUGAGUAUAUUCUUGACCAAACAAAAGAUAAUUACCAUUUGAUUGAAUGAUAAUUUCCUUAUAUGAUAAUAAUUGAUUAUUUGAAUUAAAUUGGUAGAUUGUCUUACAAGUAAUAUUAACUAGGUCAAAUUUAAAUAAUCAUUAAAUUAAUUAGUUGAUUUAUAUUAUUUUCUAUUUGAUCCUUUAUGUUUUGAAAAGUUUAAAACUUGUCCUCAAGUUUUGAAAUUUAAGUUUUNUAUAUAUAUAUAUAUAUAUAUAUAUAUAUAUAUAUAUGAUUUAAAAUGCUAGUCUUACCGUUAGUAGGCCUCAUUCACGAAGCCGAUCUAUAAGGUGGGUAUAAGGUUGCUGCCUAUAAAAUGGCACUUAAUGGGUGUACACUCACACCCACUGCUUGCUUGACUGGUGGAGGGUCGUUAGCCGAACGGGUAGGAUAGGGCAAUCCUCUCCUCAUUAAUAAGUAUAAUGAAUCUAUAUAAAGUAACUAAACGUGUUUUAUAAAAUUCCCAAUCUUAGUUACUUUAGGAAAAGUAAAUUGAUGCAAUCCCAUGAAAUUACACUUUGCACCCUUGCUAAGAUGUUAGUGGAGCGUGUGUGGGUAACCGUCACACUAAUUGGUUCUAAGCAAAGGUGGAAAAGGGUGAUUCAUUGUUUGUCAUAGUUCGAUGGAGCGUGUGUGGUUUACCGGCACAUCGAAUAGAUGACUGUAACAAUGAAGGCACCAUGCAGAUUCGCAUGGUUAUUCACACCCACUUUGUGAUCCUCGGCAUCCCAGUCACAAACGAGAGGGGCAUAUCGAGAGUUAAACAUGCCAAAUCUAGGAAUUCUCAAUACAUUUAAAACUUAAGCUUAUGUUUUUCAUGGUGAAGAAUUGGUGAAUCGUCAUUCACUUACCUCUAAAUUAUUUGCAUGUUGGAUCACGGCAUCCCUUUUCUAAUGUGUAAAUAAUGUUGUUGGGUCCUAGCCCUAAGGACUGCUGAAAGCAACCUCAAGGAAAAGUCUGUUGCAUUAACUCCCAAUCCACCUGUUGCUCCUGUUUUGGCUAUUGGGCAAGGAAGGGGCAAGAAGAGGAAGGAUCCUUCAAAGAGCCACCACAAAGGAAAGUCCCAAUAUGGUUCCUCUUGUAGUGGGACCAAGGUUGGCCCUGCUAAACCCAACCCAAACCCAAAGGAGGCAGAGUGCCACCAUUGCCACAAAAUAGGGCAUUAGAAGAGAAGCUGCCUGGAAUAUCUGCAAGCCAUCAAGGAUGGGAAGAUCAAGCCAUCUUUUGCAGGUAUUUACACAAUUAAAUCUAAUGAUUCAUCUCAUGCUAUUUCAUGAGUUCUUGAUACAUGAUGUGGUUUUCGCAUUUGUUUUGAUUUGCAGGGACUAAGAAGAAAUAGGGAUGUGGAGCGUGGAAGAAUAAAUCUAAUCAUGGGGAACAGAAGAUUGUCACCUGUCACCAAGAUUGGAGUGUAUUCUCUAGUGCUUAGUAAUGGAUUAGGUUUAGCUUUAAAUAAUUAUUGCUACUCACCAGAUAUGGCAAGAAACAUCAUUUCAUUUCAUGGUUUAUUUAGACAAGGAUUUAGAUAUUCAUUUAAUAAUGAGAAUGGUUCGAUUUAUGCUUAUCUAAAUGGUGUUUUAUAUUUUGAAGCAAUGCCUUGUAAUGGAAUUUAUGAAACUGUUAUGGUUGUAGAUAACCUAGGAAAUGAGGUGUUGUGUAUGGAUUCUUCCGAUAGUAUGGAUAAAGAAUGCUUGUGGCAUUGUCGUCUUGGACAUGUCAGCAAGAAGUGCAUAGCCCAAAUCCAAAAGGAUGGAGUGUUGGAGGCAUUCAACCUUAGGGAAGAUGACACGUGUGAAUCUUGUUUACUUGGAAAGAUGACCAAGUCACCCAUCACUAGAACUUCUGAGAGGGGUGAGGGUUUAUUGGAUCUCAUACACACCGACGUGUCUGGGCCCUUUAGAUCCACCACAAAGGAUGUGAACCACUUCUACAUGACUUUCACCGAUGAUUAUAGUAGAUAUGGGUAUAUUUACUUAAUCAAGCACAAGUCAGAAACGUUUGAAAAGUUCAAAGAAUUCAAACAUGAAGUGGAGAAUCAAUUGGGCAGGAAAAUCAAGAUGCUUCGAUCCGAUCGAGGAGGAGAGUACCUAAGUCUUGAAUUCCACGACUAUCUCAAGGAAUGCAGAAUAGUUUCGCAAUUGACACCACCUAGGACACUGUGACAACCCGAAAUUUCCAUUCUGAACAAACCAUUUGAAGCCAAUAGAAGUAGAACAGUUACAGUGAAAACUCAAAUUUCGAGUAUAAGUUUGGCAGUUUUCAGGAUUUUACACUUAAGGAGAUAUUAGGAGAGUGGAUGCACUAGGGUUUUGUGCAACACUGUUAUUCCAAUACUCUAGGACAUUAGAGUUCGUUCCAGGAAUAAAAAUAUUUUCUGCCAAAAAUAUCUCAGGACUAUAAAUAGAAUUCUGAACCAAAUUGGUUCAUUUGUUGAAUUCCAUUUAGAGAAAAGUCAAAAUUCUCUCUCACGGAUCUUCGGGUUUUUAUCCCAAAUUGUGAGUACUUCGAUCUAGUUAUGUUAUAUAGCUUAGAUUGUGUUUAGAAACACCAAUUGCAUAUCAAAUCUGUGAGAUUCGGGAGUUUACCGCCCAAGAACGUUCUUGGGGAGUAAACUCCAAUAAGUGGCUUAAAUGCUACCUAGUCCUUUCCUCGUAAAUUGUAACUACCUUAGACUUGUAUGCUAGUGUGUAUAUGACUAGAAAACAUCAAAAUCGGAUUAAUACCCCAAGAUUUGGGAGUUUACCGCCCAAGAACACUUGGGGAGUAAACUCCAUUUUAAGGUCCCAAAGGGUUCCAAUGACCCUCAAAGCAUUAGAACUCACACUAGAAGCCUUCAUUACAUAUUUAGGACACCAAAACAAUUAAGAUUCAAGGGUAAAAGAGAGUUCAAGGCCAAGGAGGUUCUUGGGCCGUGAACUCCAUGUUUAAGUGCCCAAAAUGCCCUAAAUCCCUUCAUUUAGCCAAGAGACUACCCUAGCACAUUACCUUGAUGUGUAUAAUACCCAAAACAAUCAAAAUACCAACACUUAGGGGUGUUCACGGCCGCAAACACAUGGCCAAUUGGUUCAUGGGCCGAAAACUCUAAAUAGGGGUGUUUUGAUGCCACAAACACUUCCUAAGGCUUAGGCUUAAAUUAGGACAAGUAACCUAAAGUGUUUAAAGCCUAGAAAACAUAAGGAUUCACAUGUGUUAAGGAGUUUACGGCCAAGACAAGCUCUUGGGCCGUAAACACCUAUAAAGGGGUCAAAUGACACCCUAACUCCUUCCUUAUGCCUAGAACCCAACAUAGAUCAUUACCUUGAAAUGUUUGAGACUUGAAAACAUCAUAAACACCCUCCCAAGGGAGUUUACGGCCGUAAACUCCAAGGGUAUAUGGUCCCUGGGCUAUAAACUCCUUAAAGGAGUUAAUAUGACACCCAAACACUUCAUUUAGCCUUGAAACAAUUCACCACAUGACUUGUAUAAUUGUUAGACUUGAUUUAGGGGCUUUGUAGAGAGUUUACGGCCAGGAGUUUACUCCCCUAGGCCGUAAACUCCAAGACAUAUGGUCAUUUAACCAUAAACUUCCAUAAGAGGCAUUGCACUCCUUUAUUGCAAUCCAUUAGCCUCCUAGCACUUGACCAAGAGUGUUUUCCUCGCGUUUCAAUGUUUAUACUUGUAUAAUUAGUGUNNNNNNNNNNNNNNNNNNNNNNNNNNNNNNNNNNNNNNNNNNNNNNNNNNNNNNNNNNNNNNNNNNNNNNNNNNNNNNNNNNNNNNNNNNNNNNNNNNNNAUUAUUUAAAUGAAAAAUUUUGUUUUUGGAAUUCACGGUGUUACAUUAGUGCCUUUGGGUAGCAAAGGCAUACAUUCAUAUACUUUUACAUGAUUAGGCUUACAUAAGUACAUAUACAUGAAUACGUUCACGAAAUUGUGAUCCACCGUAUCGGAGCAUGCCUUAAAUGUCAUGGCCCGAGUUAUAGCCAGAGUCUCUUGGAGGGAGAGCGUGAGUUUGCGUGUAGAUCUAUACUAGAUUGACUAUCCUACACCUUGCUGCUAGCUAUAGCCGGACCUGCAGGUCAGCGGGUGCCAAACGUCAUUCCGUUAUUACGACCAUUCGUAUGCCGUUGUUACCAGUCAAUAGUAUGGUGCAAUUAAUCACAUAAUGCCUUAAUAUAAAUCCGUUUUAUGGUAGUUAGUACAGCAGUAGUUCUUAUAGCGCUACGUUUCAGUACUACAUUAAUUUUCCCUGUACAGAUAUUUAGUGAUCCUUUCACUCAAACUAUAAAGGUAAAAACUGAUGGGUUUUAUGCAUAAGAACAAUCCUAUGUGCUCAUACAAACCCUAAUGCUUGGAUCUAGGUUUCUCUAUUGUACAUGCUUUGAAUCCAAGACUAAUAAACUUAGAUCUAACAUAUUAUAAACUGAAUUAGGGUUUAUAGAAUUACCUUUGAUUGUUAUAUAGCAAUAACAAUCAAUUCCUUGCUUGGAUUGGCCUUAGAAAGCUUAGUGCCUCAAGUGCUGCACCUCUAAUGGAGUCACAAACACCAUAUACAACUUGGAUGAAGAGGAGAAGAAAGGGGAGGCACCAAAAACGGCUGGAAACCCUAUUGGAAGACUUGUCCACGUUUUUGGGGCAUAGGGGCCCUUUAUAUACAUGUAGGCUAUUAGGGUUUACAACUAGGAAACCCUAAUUUGAUUGCUUAGGCCCUAAGCAGCCCAUGGACUCCUUAAACAUAUCCCUUGGACGAUUUCUAAUGGGCUUCCCAUAGAAUUCGUCCAACCUAUAUAUUAUUAGGUGAUCCAUAGCCCAAUUAUAAUUAUCUUAUAAUUACAACUUCAGUCCCCUAAGUUUAAUUAAUCUUUUUUAGCCACAAAAUUAAUUAACAAUUAAUUCUUGACUAAUAUUAAUUAAACAAUAUGAUUUCUCCUUUAAUAUAUUAUUCUCAUAAUAUAUUAAUAAAUCAUAUUUAAACCUUUCUCUCCUUAAAUCAUCCUACAUAUUGCUAUGGUGAAGGCAACCCAAAAGGACCAUGCUCAUAAUCGGGUCAAGUACAUACCAAAAUAGUUAUGGACUUAGACACUAAUCCAACAGUAUUCCACUUGGAUAAGUCUAAUAACUAUUUUCCGUAUGACUUCAGAACCUGAUCAGCAAUCGUAGCUUUCAAAAGCCGCUGUCAACUCUGAUCUUAUCAGAUAGCGUGUCCUCUAGAUAAGGGAUUAUAUAUUCCUCCAUUCUCAAGAUAUCGUAUAGACAAAAGACAUGAAUUUCAAUCAUUCUCUCUAUACUGUUUCCCGACUUCCGAUUUAUGACGACUGAUAACAGACUACAAUUGAACACAUCAACUUAGUCCCGGCUUGGCCAAGCGCUUAGGUGUCAUCACUAAAUCAUCGAGAGGCCCACAGAUAUCGCUUUUAUCCCACUUUGGGUAAAAGGAAUGGAUAAACUUCGAAUCAAAUGCUUGCUUGCAUUUAUUAAUCGAAUCACACACAACAAUAAGUUUUAUAACACCAAGUUACUGGUGCGUUUACUUAUUAUCAAUGUGCAACCGACCAACAAAUAACAACUCACACGUCUCGGUUUCAAGAAUAUACAAUAUUAUCGUCUCACUAAUCACUCGUGAUAAAACCAUGAAGUGAUCCAAGUGAGCGUGGGUUUAAUCCAAUACUCUAAUCUUAUCAAAGCACUCAUGAACUCUGCAGCAAACUUGUGCUAUGUCUAAACACUUCAGACAAUCUACAGACAGAUUCAUGACAGUCUUUAUUCAUACCUACUCCCAACGUAUGACCGACUGUGGAUGUUUGAAUAACCUAGUUAUUCUGGAAGUCAAAACAUGCAAAUUGAAACAUAACAAUAAUACUUAAUCCUAUAUGGCCUCAAACUUGUGAGAGUAAAUAAAACACUUCUAUUUAACCACCAUAUUGAUUACUCAUUAUUAUCGUUUACUGUUUCAGAAAAUCAACUUAUUACUCAAAUUACAACAAUAGCUGUCCCAUGCAUAAAGCAUGCACACUAUGUUUCCUAUGGUCCUUACUUUGUGAAAUAGAUCAAUUGAAAAACCUUUUUAAUGAUGCUAAUUUCACAAUUCCCAAUCCUUAUCAUCAGUGUAAGAACACAAGGUUCUUGGCACUACUAGAAUAUGUUAGAUUCUAACAUUUUACGCAACGAUCCCUUUGCAAAAUCACAGCACAAAAGUCACCACGACUUAGCUAAUGAAAUUACAAAGUACUUUCUUAGAAAUUGUUACAAGACAAUUCCAUAGAUGUGAAGUCUCACAUUCAAAGUACAUUCCUUUGAACAUCCUUCUUGCAUAAAAGUUUCUAAUCUAGGCAUAGACUCUCAAUAUCCAACUCCCAAUAUGGAAACAUUUCCACAUUUGCCAUAUGACAACUCAUUCUUAAUAGAAUCUUAUCUAUUCAUAAUAAUGUCGAUAUGGUCCAUCCAAUACCAUACUUCCAACUACUCACAAGCGACCAUUCCUCAGCGAACCUCGGACCGUCCUUUGAUAGUUGUUUAAUUAUUUUAGUCAAUACCAAUUCUAGUCCUUUUUCCCUCUUAAUGCGCUAGACAUUUGGAAAAUUUUUAGAAUGGUAAAAUACUAUAGCAUUUACAAUCGAUCCUAUACCCGAAGCGUAUGGGACACGAUGCAUAAUGUCUUACAUAAAGAUAUGAUACUUUACCAAUCUUUUGCCAUAAUAUUUUAUGUGUCAUGUUCUCACAAUUCGAACUAUGAAGAGGGAUGCCGUAAUCAUAAUCGAAUUUUAAGAACACACAAUGUAUCCUUUGACUGAAAAUAUUAAAAUUUCUUAAUCUAAGCUUUAGAUUUUGAAACGAAGUAUAAUAUUCUCUCCCUUAAUUAUAGCAAAACAACUUUUCAACCCAUGCAACUUUGCAAAUGGAAUCUUUGUUUUUCUAUAAUUAAUAUUGCUAACUUGCAAUACUCGCCAUAAUAAUCAUACAAGCAUAACACUUAUGCUCCCACUAUCAUGAUGAUUAUUAUCAUAUAAGCAUAACACUUAUGCUCCCACUAGCUUUGACAUGUAUUCAGAAAACAAAUGAACUUCCAGAAAACAAUGCCUAUUGAAUUUCUGAAAUUCAUAUUUCUAAUACCAGAUGCUUCGAUAAGCCUUUAUCUAAGCUUCUUAAACUUAUACACCUUUGCCUUAGAUAGCUCAUGUGUCAUUUUAAACAAUUCAAAACUUAUGUUACUAAGUUCCAAAUGUUGAAANNNNNNNNNNNNNNNNNNNNNNNNNNNNNNNNNNNNNNNNNNNNNNNNNNNNNNNNNNNNNNNNNNNNNNNNNNNNNNNNNNNNNNNNNNNNNNNNNNNNACACGAGAUUGGGAUUGUGAAAACAUGUAUGAAUUCUAAUAUGAAUUUUAGGACGGAGAACUGCCUAAGUAUACGAGUAAUCGCAUCGUCAUGUGAACGAACAUAGAACCCAGUAUGACUCCCGUAAACAGAUCGCCCUACAGUCUAAACACUCCGGAGAUACAAGAAUAGUACAGACAACUUAGC
Molecule: long non-coding RNA, 44361 nt
Filed under: Lactuca sativa (garden lettuce)
Lineage: Eukaryota; Viridiplantae; Streptophyta; Magnoliopsida; Asterales; Asteraceae
Description: long non-coding RNA (LSAT_LNC008631)
Source: RNAcentral